RNAcentral lists this ribosomal RNA (484 nucleotides) under uncultured bacterium. Its description in RNAcentral is "partial 16S ribosomal RNA". It matches the Rfam family "Bacterial small subunit ribosomal RNA", at positions 30 to 507 of the family's 1533-position model. The record is from RNAcentral.
AUUGAACGCUGGCGGCAGGCCUAACACAUGCAAGUCGAGCGGAUGAAGGGAGCUUGCUCCUGGAUUCAGCGGCGGACGGGUGAGUAAUGCCUAGGAAUCUGCCUGGUAGUGGGGGAUAACGUCCGGAAACGGGCGCUAAUACCGCAUACGUCCUGAGGGAGAAAGUGGGGGAUCUUCUGACCUCACGCUAUCAGAUGAGCCUAGGUCGGAUUAGCUAGUUGGUGGGGUAAAGGCCUACCAAGGCGACGAUCCGUAACUGGUCUGAGAGGAUGAUCAGUCACACUGGAACUGAGACACGGUCCAGACUCCUACGGGAGGCAGCAGUGGGGAAUAUUGGACAAUGGGCGAAAGCCUGAUCCAGCCAUGCCGCGUGUGUGAAGAAGGUCUUCGGAUUGUAAAGCACUUUAAGUUGGGAGGAAGGGCAGUAAGUUAAUACCUUGCUGUUUUGACGUUACCAACAGAAUAAGCACCGGCUAACUUCGUG